GCUAGGCAUGAUGGCGCAUGCCUAUAAACCCAGCAACUCAGGAGGCUGAGACAGGAGGAUCACAAGUCUGAGGCUAGCCUCAGCAAAUCAGCAAAGACCUCAGCAAUUUAGUGAGACACUGUCUCAA
This 127-nucleotide small RNA is filed under the name Marmota monax (woodchuck). The record is from RNAcentral. Lineage: Eukaryota; Metazoa; Chordata; Mammalia; Rodentia; Sciuridae.